AUCCCAUGAUGUGGACACUUUCGAAGCAUCUCCUUGUAGCGUUCUCACGCUUCCCAUAAAGUUUCACCAGAUAGCUGAGAGAAUUGAGUGAUAGCAUUCCUGAUUGC
Molecule: non-coding RNA, 107 nt
Organism: Daucus carota subsp. sativus
Lineage: Eukaryota; Viridiplantae; Streptophyta; Magnoliopsida; Apiales; Apiaceae
Source: Rfam